AAAUUUACACCCAAUUUUUAUCCAAAACUCUAAACUUGUUGAUCUUAGCCUCCAAAGCUCGAAUGACUUUGAAAGAGAAACCCUAAUCCCUAAUAAGGCCUCGGGCAGCCUCCUUGAAGUCCAUUGGGUAUGGCUUUCGACCAAUAGGAAUAAAAGAUUUUCAUUCCUUGCCUUCAACUAACCAUGCCUUGCUUUCAUCCCUCUCAAUAAGCCUCCUAUUAGUUAAUAUUUUUGUCUUUAUGCUCUAAUCUCUUCUCAAGGCUUCAUACUAAAUAUUUAGGUCCUAUAAUUUUUUUAAAUGCUAUAAUCAAAAAAGAUAAAAUUCAAAAUAAAGUUUCUUAAAUCCACUUUCUUUAAAUUAAUCUAUUAACCAU
Molecule: long non-coding RNA, 374 nt
Filed under: Physcomitrium patens
Lineage: Eukaryota; Viridiplantae; Streptophyta; Bryopsida; Funariales; Funariaceae
Description: long non-coding RNA (PPAT_LNC006133)
Source: RNAcentral